Molecule: ribosomal RNA, 468 nt
Filed under: uncultured bacterium
Lineage: Bacteria
Description: partial 16S ribosomal RNA
Rfam family: Bacterial small subunit ribosomal RNA
Source: RNAcentral
GACGAACGCUGGCGGCGUGCUUAACACAUGCAAGUCGAACGGAAAGGCCCUGCUUUUGUGGGGUGCUCGAGGGGCGAACGGGGGAGUAACACGUGAGUAACCUGCCCUUGACUUUGGGAUAACUUAAGGAAACUGGGGCUAAUACGGGAUAGGAGCUCCUGCUGCAUGGUGGGGGUUGGAAAGUUUCGGCGGUUGGGGAUGGACUCGCGGCUUAUGAGCUUGUUGGUGGGGUAGUGGCUUACCAAGGCUUUGACGGGUAGCCGGCCUGAGAGGGUGACCGGCCACAUUGGGACUGAGAUACGGCCCAGACUCCUACGGGAGGCAGCAGUGGGGAAUAUUGCACAAUGGGCGGAAGCCUGAUGCAGCAACGCCGCGUGCGGGAUGACGGCCUUCGGGUUGUAAACCGCUUUCGCCUGUGACGAAGCGUGAGUGACGGUAAUGGGUAAAGAAGCACCGGCUAACUACGUG